GCGACUGUGGUGGAAUUGGUAAACACAACAGUUUUAGGUACUGUCGAGCGCAAGCUCCUGCUGGUUCGAGUCCAGUCAGUCGCACCA
Molecule: transfer RNA, 87 nt
Filed under: Variovorax sp.
Lineage: Bacteria; Pseudomonadati; Pseudomonadota; Betaproteobacteria; Burkholderiales; Comamonadaceae
Description: tRNA-Leu
Rfam family: tRNA
About the family: Transfer RNA (tRNA) molecules are approximately 80 nucleotides in length. Their secondary structure includes four short double-helical elements and three loops (D, anti-codon, and T loops).
Source: RNAcentral